This 29-nucleotide non-coding RNA is filed under the name Mus musculus (house mouse). Lineage: Eukaryota; Metazoa; Chordata; Mammalia; Rodentia; Muridae. The record is from RNAcentral.
UAUCCCUGAUACCCCAGGAGCCUAUUGAC